UCACACUCCAAGGCUGCAAAUGCUUGUGU
Molecule: non-coding RNA, 29 nt
Filed under: Homo sapiens (human)
Lineage: Eukaryota; Metazoa; Chordata; Mammalia; Primates; Hominidae
Source: RNAcentral